Molecule: ribosomal RNA, 294 nt
Filed under: uncultured bacterium MK14
Lineage: Bacteria; Pseudomonadati; Bacteroidota
Description: partial 16S ribosomal RNA
Rfam family: Bacterial small subunit ribosomal RNA
Source: RNAcentral
GGAGAGACUGCCCGCGUAAGCUGAGAGGAAGGUGGGGAUGACGUCAAAUCAUCAUGGCCUUUAUGCUCAGGGCUACACACGUGCUACAAUGGUCGGUACAGAGGGUUGCGAAAGGGUGACCUGGAGCCAAUCUUUUAAAGCCGAUCUCAGUUCGGAUUGAAGUCUGAAACUCGACUUUAUGAAGGUGGAAUCGCUAGUAAUCGCGCAUCGGCCAUGGCGUGGUGAAUACGUUCCCGGACCUUGUACACACCGCCCGUCAAGCCAUGGAAGCUGGGGGUGCCUGAAGAUGGUGAC